Equus asinus (donkey) is the source of this 2363-nucleotide long non-coding RNA. NCBI's taxonomy places the organism in Eukaryota, Metazoa, Chordata, Mammalia, Perissodactyla, Equidae. The record is from Ensembl.
CUUGGAGUGAGUCUGGGAGGCAGGGCCACAGUUGUCCCCGUCUCUGCUGCCCCUUCUCCCUGAGAUAGCUGCGUGCAUGUAGCCAAGCAGGUGCCACGAAAGCCUGCGUCCUUGCUGUGUUGACACUUCCCUCCCAAUGGCCUGUUGUCCUGAAGAACUCGUCAGAGACCAAGAGAGAAUGAGGGCAUUCACAUUAGGUAGGGGGCUGUCCAUCUUCAGUGCUUCGUCCUGCUGUAGACAGCUGUCUGAACUGGUCAAGUCAGUUCUCUUUCCAUAUCUGUAAGAUGAUGCAGUCGGAUUAAAUUUGCAACAUUAAAUUCAGCCCUGAAUUACCUUACAAGUAGCAAUAAAAGGCAUAGCGGGAGACAGAAUGGAGAAAUGGGAUAAUUUUUUUUUUUUAAGUUCUUUUAACAUCGGAUAUGACCCAAAGGUAAACAUCACAAUACAUUGUGAAAUCAAAUAUUAAUUACCUUUCUUUCAAAACUGGUGUAGAUAGGCAAGGUUAGGCCACUUGAGAAUCCUUCUGUUGUGACUAUGAUACUUGGUAUGGAAAAGACCCACCGAUGUGUUCCCGGUGGCAGUCUCUGCUAUGUGUUUUUGGAAAAGUUGACAAAGAGUCUGCUUUGGCUUUGGGACUAAUGAAAAGCCUCCCAUAAACAGUUAGGUACAGCUGGUUGUUGACAGACCUGGAGCUGGAUCCAGGCCUCCUGCUCCCCACCCUGGAGUGGUAAUGCUCUGGCCCUCGUGGCACAGCUUGACGGGGAGUUCUCAGUGCGUCAGGACCAUCAGGGAUAAAUGCACGUCCAGAGCAUCAGUCAUCUCUCCUUAACAACAGCCGAAUGACCAGUUUCUGGAGAUAGUACUGUCUUCCAGAACUUAUCUGACUCUCAUGCCCAGUGUUGUACCCGUUUUUUCCUGCCUCCUCACACUGCUCCCCACAGCCCUUCCCCAUCUCCUGAACUCUCCUUGGGAUGUGGUGAGGAUACACCAUAGCUAUUACCUUAAUGCAUGCUUUCUUCAUUGGCCCAAAUUCAGAAUGUGUAAGGGAACUGAGUACACGUGGGAUGUCUCCACCCUUGGAAAGCCCCCCUUAGUCCUCACUGAGCCACACAGGUGAUGGAGGGAACAAGGGUACCUUUCUCACCACUGUGGGGCUUUGACAGCAGUAGUGAUGGCAUCCUUGGCUCUUAGAUUCCUGAACAUUUCACUUAAUGACCAGAGCCUUGGAAUGCCUCCAAGAGUGCCAGAGUGCCAGCUCCCACCCUGGUCUUAGAUAUUGAAGAGUCCCAGGUACUCCACCCACCUCUCACCUUGUGAACAUGGAUGCCCAUGUCACUGCCUGAGGAGUUAAGUCUGUAUGACACCCAGACCCCACAGUCACAUCACAUAAAUUAAGAAUCUUGCUGGGGCGCUAUCAUUGACAGUUUUAAAUCUCAGCUGGAGUAAAUUGUUAUUAACCUAUCUAGUUAUUGCUGAAAAUCGUAGUCAAACCCGUAGGUGAAAAGAGAAGGCUGUGGAUGCUGUCUUGCCAAAGAUCUCAGAGCUGAAUUGUUCAGAGCGAGGACCAGACUGGAACUGAUUCUGCUGCUACUGUGUUUUAGGUCAGACACUCAGGCCUGUUGGGUGAUUUGGGGCAGCUAACCCAGAUGUUGCCCCUGUGAAAGUCUCUGCAGCAACUACAUGGGCAUCUCUGUUUCACCCUGCUGCUUCGUCGUCCUUUUGCUUUGCAUCACAAAGGAAAAAAUCUACCCCUGUGUAGCCAGCGCUUCAAAUCCAACCCAAGCCAGAUCACGAAGCAGACUGAGCUGUGACGGCACCCACUGGGAGAUCCUUCUGGAGCCGUGUCAGUGGACAUGCCCUAGACAGGAGAGAGGACCUGCCUGAGUUCCCUGACUGAGAAUGUUAAUUGACCCUCUAGGGCCUUUGUUCGCUGGUGCAUCCUGUGGCAUCUUCUCACCUUGUUAAGGGCCCCUUGAUGAGUAAAAUCAUGAGCCUUUUUGGGAAGUUUGGGUAUACUAAGCUCCCAAAUCCUCUGAGUUGUUAGGGAACCUGAGCCCUGAGUAAUCCAUGCCUUUGGAGAAUAUACAUGUUUGAGCCUCGGUGUUUGUGAGAAAGUCAGAGAAGCAAGAGCAAGGAGGACAGACCUGCCAGGAUGUGGGAAUAAGAAAUUGCAUGCGCUGUCGGGUUUUUGGAUAAUAAACUGAAUCUCUCUCCCUUAAGUCUGUAGGAGGCGUCAGUGUUUUGCGCAUAGACAUAAAAUAACUGGGUAGCUUAUUUAAGUGAUUAGCCAAAGGGGUGUGUGUUUCAAAAGUUAAAGUCACACGCACACUAAAAUUAUAUACACGUACUUACCUGACUUCUUA